CUUCAGUUGUAGGAGUGGGAUCUGGCUCUAGACUGCCCCCCUGUCCUCUGCUUUUAUCUUUACACAGUGAGCUGAUACCCCUGUUGUUCUACUGCGCCCUGACUUACUGUUAUCUGAUCGGUUGGGGUGUAAGGACUCUGAGUUGGGGUGGGGGUGCACACGGUGUCCCCUCUGUGCUCGCAGUGGGAGCUGUGUCUGUUGUUGGCAGAAGUCCGGGGGUACCCCACUUGCCCAUGGACCCCUGUCUCUCAUGGAAAACCAGCCUGUGGGGUACAGCGUGGUGGGUGAGGAGUGAAGCAGAGCUGGGAAUAAAGUCAGUACAGUGAGAGGGGAUAGGAGCUCAUGGGCCUACAGUACUUCCCUACCCCCCUCUGCUGAUUCUCAAAGUCUGGGGGUUGUGCUCUUCUCAUGUGGGUGUCACCCAACCCCCCCCCCCCUUCAGGGUCAGGUAAAUCGCUGGGUUCUUCCCUUCUCUCCCUUACCACAAUCACAGGUGCAGUUUGAAAUUCCUAUGAAGCGUUUUGCUGAGUGACGGAGGGAGCCGAGACAAAUGGACAACCUUCGGUCAGCACUGUGAUCCGUGGUCCGCUCCAACCUGAACUACGUUUCCCAGCAGGCCCUGGGGGAGGAAUGGUGGCCAAUAAGUUGCCUCCCCUGGGUUAAUGAGCUCAGAGGGGGACGAGAGAUCUGUCCUGACCCAGUGUGCAGUUGACAGCCCCCCCCAUCUUCUUCCUACUGCAGCUGAGGCACAGGUGGACAGCUCUCAGGACAGACACAAGGUAAGGAAACAGGGCUCUUUAUUCACAGAUCAAGAUGAAGCGUUCCAGAAACCACAAGACAAACCUCUAGUUCUUCUCCCAACUGUAGCUAGACGUGCAGUCGGCUUCCCCAGGCCUCUGUGAAGACAAGUCAGACUCCCA
Molecule: long non-coding RNA, 920 nt
Filed under: Lepisosteus oculatus (spotted gar)
Lineage: Eukaryota; Metazoa; Chordata; Actinopteri; Semionotiformes; Lepisosteidae
Description: lncRNA (ENSLOCG00000022098.1)
Source: RNAcentral